This 203-nucleotide unclassified non-coding RNA is filed under the name Hevea brasiliensis (rubber tree). Lineage: Eukaryota; Viridiplantae; Streptophyta; Magnoliopsida; Malpighiales; Euphorbiaceae. The record is from RNAcentral.
GGGAAACUCGAUGAGUUCAUCCCAAAGCAUUGAAAAACACUAAACAAACACCUCUCUUUCUCUCUGGCGAACUCGAUAGAGAGACUACGGUUUUACACCGAUACUUAUAGUCUUCUUUCACUCUUAGGAAUCUCUACAGCGAGCAGAAGAAGGGUAAAUCGCUAAUUGAAAUCCAAUUGAAGCGAAAAUAAGGGUUGGUUUUU